CAGCUAGUUGGCGAGGUAACGGCUCACCAAGGCUACGACGGGUAGCUGGUCUGAGAGGAUGGCCAGCCACAUUGGGACUGAGAAACGGCCCAGACUCCUACGGGAGGCAGCAGUGGGGAAUCUUGCGCAAUGGCCUAACGGCUGACGCAGCGACGCCGCGUGAGGGAUGACGCUCUUCGGAGUGUAAACCUCUUUUGCCCGGAACGAAUUGCCACCAUCAGGUGGCUUGACGGUACCGGUUGAAUAAGCACCGGCUAACUCCGUGCCAGCAGCCGCGGUAAUACGGGGGGUGCGAGCGUUGUCCGGAAUCACUGGGCGUAAAGGGCGCGUAGGUGGCGUGAUAAGGGUGUGGUGAAAGCCCGGGGCUCAACCCCGGGUCUGCCAUGCCGACUGUCAGGCUCGAGUACUGUAGGGGCAGGCGGAAUUCCGGGUGUAGCGGUGGAAUGCGUAAAGAUCCGGAGGAAGACCGGUGGCGAAGGCGGCCUGCUGGGCAGUUAC
This 498-nucleotide ribosomal RNA is filed under the name uncultured Gemmatimonadota bacterium. RNAcentral's name for it is "SSU rRNA". It matches the Rfam family "Bacterial small subunit ribosomal RNA", at positions 242 to 740 of the family's 1533-position model. The record is from RNAcentral. Lineage: Bacteria; Pseudomonadati; Gemmatimonadota.